AGAGUUUGAUCAUGGCUCAGAUUGAACGCUGGCGGCAGGCCUAACACAUGCAAGUCGAGCGGUAGCACAGAGAGCUUGCUCUCGGGUGACGAGCGGCGGACGGGUGAGUAAUGUCUGGGAAACUGCCUGAUGGAGGGGGAUAACUACUGGAAACGGUAGCUAAUACCGCAUAACGUCGCAAGACCAAAGUGGGGGACCUUCGGGCCUCAUGCCAUCAGAUGUGCCCAGAUGGGAUUAGCUAGUAGGUGGGGUAACGGCUCACCUAGGCGACGAUCCUUAGCUGGUCUGAGAGGAUGACCAGCCACACUGGAACUGAGACACGGUCCAGACUCCUACGGGAGGCAGCAGUGGGGAAUAUUGCACAAUGGGCGCAAGCCUGAUGCAGCCAUGCCGCGUGUGUGAAGAAGGCCUUCGGGUUGUAAAGCACUUUCAGCGGGGAGGAAGGCGAUAAGGUUAAUAACCUCAUCGAUUGACGUUACCCGCAGAAGAAGCACCGGCUAACUCCGUGCCAGCAGCCGCGGUAAUACGGAGGGUGCAAGCGUUAAUCGGAAUUACUGGGCGUAAAGCGCACGCAGGCGGUCUGUCAAGUCGGAUGUGAAAUCCCCGGGCUCAACCUGGGAACUGCAUUCGAAACUGGCAGGCUAGAGUCUUGUAGAGGGGGGUAGAAUUCCAGGUGUAGCGGUGAAAUGCGUAGAGAUCUGGAGGAAUACCGGUGGCGAAGGCGGCCCCCUGGACAAAGACUGACGCUCAGGUGCGAAAGCGUGGGGAGCAAACAGGAUUAGAUACCCUGGUAGUCCACGCCGUAAACGAUGUCGAUUUGGAGGUUGUGCCCUUGAGGCGUGGCUUCCGGAGCUAACGCGUUAAAUCGACCGCCUGGGGAGUACGGCCGCAAGGUUAAAACUCAAAUGAAUUGACGGGGGCCCGCACAAGCGGUGGAGCAUGUGGUUUAAUUCGAUGCAACGCGAAGAACCUUACCUGGUCUUGACAUCCACAGAACUUAGCAGAGAUGCUUUGGUGCCUUCGGGAACUGUGAGACAGGUGCUGCAUGGCUGUCGUCAGCUCGUGUUGUGAAAUGUUGGGUUAAGUCCCGCAACGAGCGCAACCCUUAUCCUUUGUUGCCAGCGGUUAGGCCGGGAACUCAAAGGAGACUGCCAGUGAUAAACUGGAGGAAGGUGGGGAUGACGUCAAGUCAUCAUGGCCCUUACGACCAGGGCUACACACGUGCUACAAUGGCAUAUACAAAGAGAAGCGACCUCGCGAGAGCAAGCGGACCUCAUAAAGUAUGUCGUAGUCCGGAUUGGAGUCUGCAACUCGACUCCAUGAAGUCGGAAUCGCUAGUAAUCGUAGAUCAGAAUGCUACGGUGAAUACGUUCCCGGGCCUUGUACACACCGCCCGUCACACCAUGGGAGUGGGUUGCAAAAGAAGUAGGUAGCUUAACCUUCGGGAGGGCGCUUACCACUUUGUGAUUCAUGACUGGGGUGAAGUCGUAACAAGGUAACCGUAGGGGAACCUGCGGUUGGAUCACCU
This 1528-nucleotide ribosomal RNA is filed under the name Klebsiella pneumoniae. RNAcentral describes it as "bacterial SSU rRNA". It matches the Rfam family "Bacterial small subunit ribosomal RNA". The record is from RNAcentral. Lineage: Bacteria; Pseudomonadati; Pseudomonadota; Gammaproteobacteria; Enterobacterales; Enterobacteriaceae.